Molecule: ribosomal RNA, 444 nt
Filed under: uncultured bacterium
Lineage: Bacteria
Description: partial 16S ribosomal RNA
Rfam family: Bacterial small subunit ribosomal RNA
Source: RNAcentral
CCUACGGGAGGCAGCAGUGGGGAAUAUUGGGCAAUGGACGAAACUCUGACCCAGCAAUGCCGCGUGAAUGAAGAAGGUCUUCGGAUUGUUAAGUUCUUUAGUCAGGGAAGCAUAAACUGACGGUACUUGAAGAAUAAGCUCCGGCUAACUACGUGCCAGCAGCCGCGGUAAUACGUAGGGAGCAAGCGGUGCUCGGAAUGCCUGGGCGUAAAGGGUGCGUUGGCGGUUAUACAAGUGAGAAGUGAAAUACGCACGGCUUAAAUCGGGUGCUGCAUCAGAAACUGUAAGUCUUGAGUGCAGGAGAGGUAUGCGGAAUGCGUGGUGUAGCGGUGAAAUGCGUAGAUAUUAGGAGGAACACCGGUGGCGAAGGCGGCUAACUGGACUGCAACUGACGCUGAGGCACGAAAGUGUGGGGAGCAAACAGGAUUAGAUACCCGGGUAGUC